GGGUGGUAAUGCCGGAUGUUCCACAUGAUCGCAUGUGAUUGUGGGAAAGAUUCUAUCGGCGUGGGAUGGGGUCGCGUCCUAUCAGCUUGUUGGUGAGGUAACGGCUCACCAAGGCUUCGACGGGUAGCCGGCCUGAGAGGGCGACCGGCCACAUUGGGACUGAGAUACGGCCCAGACUCCUACGGGAGGCAGCAGUGGGGAAUAUUGCACAAUGGGCGCAAGCCUGAUGCAGCGACGCCGCGUGAGGGAUGGAGGCCUUCGGGUUGUAAACCUCUUUUGUUUGGGAGCAAGCCUUCGGGUGAGUGUACCUUUCGAAUAAGCGCCGGCUAACUACGUGCCAGCAGCCGCGGUAAUACGUAGGGCGCAAGCGUUAUCCGGAUUUAUUGGGCGUAAAGGGCUCGUAGGCGGCUCGUCGCGUCCGGUGUGAAAGUCCAUCGCUUAACGGUGGAUCUGCGCCGGGUACGGGCGGGCUGGAGUGCGGUAGGGGAGACUGGAAUUCCCGGUGUAACGGUGGA
Molecule: ribosomal RNA, 515 nt
Filed under: Bifidobacterium sp. IR007-93
Lineage: Bacteria; Bacillati; Actinomycetota; Actinomycetes; Bifidobacteriales; Bifidobacteriaceae
Also listed under: 1 other name
Description: bacterial SSU rRNA
Rfam family: Bacterial small subunit ribosomal RNA
Source: RNAcentral